Molecule: ribosomal RNA, 259 nt
Filed under: uncultured prokaryote
Description: partial 16S ribosomal RNA
Rfam family: Bacterial small subunit ribosomal RNA
Source: RNAcentral
UACGUAGGUGGCGAGCGUUAUCCGGAAUUAUUGGGCGUAAAGAGCGCGCAGGUGGUUGAUUAAGUCUGAUGUGAAAGCCCACGGCUUAACCGUGGAGGGUCAUUGGAAACUGGUCGACUUGAGUGCAGAAGAGGGAAGUGGAAUUCCAUGUGUAGCGGUAAAAUGCGUAGAUAUAUGGAGGAACACCAGUGGCGAAGGCGGCUUGCUGGACUGCUACUGACGCUGAGGCACGAAAGCGUGGGGAGCAAAUAGGAUUAGA